GUCCACCCCGUAAACGUUGGGAACUAGUUGUGGGGUCCAUUCCACGGAUUCCGUUACGCAGCUAACGCAUUAAGUUCCCCGCCUGGGGAGUACGGCCGCAAGGCUAAAACUCAAAGGAAUUGACGGGGGACCCGCACAAGCGGCGGAGCAUGCGGAUUAAUUCGAUGCAACGCGAAGAACCUUACCAAGGCUUGACAUAUACGAGAACGGGCUAGAAAUAGUCAACUCUUUGGACACUCGUAAACAGGUGGUGCAUGGUUGUCGU
RNAcentral lists this ribosomal RNA (265 nucleotides) under uncultured bacterium. Its description in RNAcentral is "partial 16S ribosomal RNA". It matches the Rfam family "Bacterial small subunit ribosomal RNA", at positions 793 to 1055 of the family's 1533-position model. The record is from RNAcentral.